RNAcentral lists this ribosomal RNA (468 nucleotides) under uncultured bacterium. RNAcentral describes it as "partial 16S ribosomal RNA". It matches the Rfam family "Bacterial small subunit ribosomal RNA", at positions 28 to 507 of the family's 1533-position model. The record is from RNAcentral.
GACGAGCGCUGGCGGCGUGCUUAACACAUGCAAGUCGAACGGAAAGGCCCUGCUUUUGUGGGGUGCUCGAGUGGCGAACGGGUGAGUAACACGUGAGUAACCUGCCCUUGACUUUGGGAUAACUUCAGGAAACUGGGGCUAAUACCGGAUAGGAGCUCCUGCUGCAUGGUGGGGGUUGGAAAGUUUCGGCGGUUGGGGAUGGACUCGCGGCUUAUCAGCUUGUUGGUGGGGUAGUGGCUUACCAAGGCUUUGACGGGUAGCCGGCCUGAGAGGGUGACCGGCCACAUUGGGACUGAGAGACGGCCCAGACUCCUACGGGAGGCAGCAGUGGGGAAUAUUGCACAAUGGGCGGAAGCCUGAUGCAGCAACGCCGCGUGCGGGAUGACGGCCUUCGGGUUGUAAACCGCUUUCGCCUGUGACGAAGCGUGAGUGACGGUAAUGGGUAAAGAAGCACCGGCUAACUACGUG